CGACGCUGGCGGCGUGCCUAAUACAUGCAAGUCGAACGGUCUUUCUAUGGAAGCUUGCUUCCACUGAGAAGAUAGUGGCGAACGGGUGAGUAACACGUGGGUAACCUGCCCAUAAGGAGGGGGAUAACAUCCGGAAACGGGUGCUAAUACCGCAUAGUUUUCUUGAUCGCAUGAUCGGGAAAGGAAAGACGGCCUUUGUGCUGUCGCUUAUGGAUGGACCCGCGGCGUAUUAGUUAGUUGGUGAGGUAACGGCUCACCAAGACGAUGAUACGUAGCCGACCUGAGAGGGUGAUCGGCCACAUUGGGACUGAGACACGGCCCAAACUCCUACGGGAGGCAGCAGUAGGGAAUCUUCCGCAAUGGACGAAAGUCUGACGGAGCAACGCCGCGUGAGUGAAGAAAGGGUUUUCGGAUCGUAAAACUCUGUUGUCAGAGAAGAACAAGUUGGAGAGUAACUGCUCCAGCCUUGACGGUAUCUGACCAGAAAGCCACGGCUAACUACGUGCCAGCCGCAGC
RNAcentral lists this ribosomal RNA (516 nucleotides) under uncultured bacterium. Its description in RNAcentral is "bacterial SSU rRNA". It matches the Rfam family "Bacterial small subunit ribosomal RNA", at positions 32 to 518 of the family's 1533-position model. The record is from RNAcentral.